This 505-nucleotide ribosomal RNA is filed under the name uncultured bacterium. RNAcentral describes it as "partial 16S ribosomal RNA". It matches the Rfam family "Bacterial small subunit ribosomal RNA", at positions 28 to 507 of the family's 1533-position model. The record is from RNAcentral.
GACGAACGCUGGCGGCGUGCCUAAUACAUGCAAGUAGAACGCACAGUUUAUACCGUAGCUUGCUACACCAUACACUGUGAGUUGCGAACGGGUGAGUAACGCGUAGGUAACCUGCCUGGUAGCGGGGGAUAACUAUUGGAAACGAUAGCUAAUACCGCAUAAUAUUGAUUAUUGCAUGAUAAUUGAUUGAAAGAUGCUAUUGCAUCACUACCAGAUGGACCUGCGUUGUAUUAGCUAGUAGGUGAGGUAACGGCUCACCUAGGCGACGAUACAUAGCCGACCUGCGAGGGUGAUCGGCCACACUGGGACUGAGACACGGCCCAGACUCCUGCGGGAGGCAGCAGUAGGGAAUCUUCGGCAAUCGACGAAAGUCUGACCGAGCAACGCCGCGUGAGUGAAGAAGGUUUUCGGAUCGUAAAGCUCGGUUGUAAGAGAAGAACGGGUGUGAGAGUGGAAAGUUCACACUGUGACGGUAUCUUACCAGAAAGGGACGGCUAACUACGUG